This is a long non-coding RNA of Solanum dulcamara, 4780 nucleotides long. RefSeq lists it as uncharacterized. The transcript has 8 exons. Lineage: Eukaryota; Viridiplantae; Streptophyta; Magnoliopsida; Solanales; Solanaceae. The record is from RefSeq and is a predicted model, not a curated record.
CCAACAAGGCAGCAACAACUGAGAAACACAAAGAGUCCAUGACCCGGGCAUUUUCCCAAAUCAACUAUCAAAACCCUAGAAGACAGCUGCCCGUGGGUCGCGACACUCGCCAUUUAUAUCCAUCCGGGUUGGGGUACAUUCCUCGGACCCAUUCUUCCUUCAGUUUCAGCAGUGGCUUCCAUAACGAAUCUAGGGUGUGGAGCUGAAAAAGGAAAUGGAGACAAUGGGGUUUGUAGUUUCAAAGAAGAGUAAAGGGACAUGGAGAUAUUCGUUCACAGUUGCUAAUGACCUUAAGCAAUAAAUAGAUUUGUCUUGUAUUAAAGAAAAUGUUGUGGUCUUAGCAAUUGGUUAGGAAAACAAAUUCUAAUGGUUCAAAUUCUACAGGUGAUUCAACAUUUUCAAGUGUCCAUUUGAACAAUUAGAAUUAGUUUUCGGAUCACUUGCAAAGGCCACAGGAUUCACUUUAAUGCAAGAUGAAUCCUUGUGUUGGUUUAGGACGACAAUGCUUCUUGCAUCUGAUGGCAUGCAAUUUCAGAGAAGAUGAGGUGGUUCUAAGUAGUAUUUUCCAUUUAUUCGCUAUGAGUCCUCAAAUAUUCAAGGUGUUAUCUAUCCUGAGUGGUGGUAGUGGUUUGCAAGGUUUGAAGCAUGUUAUUGCAUUGUCAAAUGUAAAGGAUCAUAUUGGUCUUUCAUUUUGGUACAUAAAUGCCUCUUCAAUUGCUAUAUGUGUUUGUUUGUGUGUGUGUACAUACGUAAUGUAUAUAUGUAUGUGUGAGUGUCUUUUUAUGUUUAAAAUAUUAUAUAUCUUUAUAAUGGGAAAUGUAAGCCGUCUGCAACUGAAGAUACGAGGAGUGAAAAGUGAAUGUAGAUUAUUUCAGCAGAUAAGAUUACAUUGUUAUCUUCUGACUGAUACUCUUUUACCUCUUGUUUCAUGUCAUUUCUUGUCUCUCUCUGUUUUUGAUUUGAUAACCAUUAUUCUCUUUUCAUGGCAUUUAUUCAAUAAAUUGGUAAUUGUUGUUUCUUGAUAUACUGUAAUAGCUGAUUAGAUGCUCAUUUGGCCUUUUCUCAGGCUCUUGUUCUGGUGAACAAAUAAGAAUCGCUAAAUACACUAGUGUGUUUUUGAUAAAGGAAAUAGACUAGUGUUAAGCUACAAGGAGAUUACACAGGCAAAUAUGGACUCCUUAGUUUCCUGUUUGAGCAAUAUGCAAAAUUGGAGGUUAAUAGAGGUCAAAAGAAGUUAUCUGAUUCAGCUCUGUCCAGAAAAUUCUAGAGAAUAUAUAGUCAGGGGUCGCUUGGUUGGCCACAUAAAAAAGUAUCAUCGCACACAAAAUUCUGCAUGUCUAAUAUACUAUGUUUGGUUUGCAACAUAAAACUCUGUAUUGCUCAUUUAAUUUCCGGUGUAAAACUAUGCAUAACAAAUACUCCCUCCGUCCAAUUUAAGUGUCUUAGUUUGACUGAGCACAGAGUUUAAGAAACAAAGGGGAAUUUUUGAAUCUUGUGGUCUUAAAUUAAAGAUGUGUGUAGUCUUUUAAAUUUUUUGGGCUUAAACUUGCCAUGUAGAAUGUUGAAAUUGGAAAACUUACUAAAUAUAGAAAGGCUGGGACAGAUCAAGAAGGAAAGUGAAAGCAUGUUUUGAUUAACUUAUUUUAAGUGUUUUAAGCACUUUUGUAGUGUUUGGGUAAGAUAAAGAAGUGCUUUUAAGCACUUGUUUUUAAGCCUAAAACUAUAAAUUCAUCCAAACAGUCUCUAAGACACUUAAAAAUUGGAAUGGAGGGAGUACUUCUUUUGUUGUGGUACUAAACAAUGUAUUGCUAAUACCAACAUAAUUUAUGUGUGAUUCAGUGUAUUAUCUUAUACGGGAUAGGAUAUGGAACAAAAAUAGUAAUUAGCGAUACUUGGAUAAGAGUUCUAGAAGCAUAAAUAUUGCUUUUAAAGUACACAAUUAUUCAGCUCAUAGCAAUCCCUAUGUUUAUAUUCAUUGUAUAACAUGCCUUUAUCAUGAUCCCUGCAUGAACUAGUCUGCAAACCAAAUGGCCCUUCAAGGUAUGAAUUGUGUGUGCCUAUUUCCUAUACAAAGACCUUGAGGACAUGCAACAAGUGGGCAGUAAGGCUGGCGUGUCUCUUGGUCAGAUGUCUCUCCAACUCUUUUCAACCAAGUAUUAUAAUAUCAUGUUAGGAAUAACUCUUUUCUUGAGAAUUGCUAUGUAUGCCAAAUAUACCUGUCAAUUUUUUUGAUCACAGCAGCGGUAGAUCACAUGUCAUAAAAAAAGAUAUGCCAGUAAUGGGAAAUACCUUACUUAUUCCUAAAGAUAAUUUCUUCAAAAAGAUUGUGGUCUGAUUUUGUUAUGGUCUUUAUCUAUCUCUAUCACAAACCAAGUGCAAUGACUGCCUACUCUUUUAGGAGAUAUCGGCAUAUCGCAUUGUCAACCCGGUUGUACUCUUUGGUUGUUCUGUCCUGUCUGAUCCAAUUGAUGGUGAUUUUUGACCCCUCAGUGGUCGUAUUAUUUGCAUUAGGGUGUAAAAAGUACCCUACAACAACAACAUACCCAGUGAAGUCCCACAAGUGGGGUUGGGGAGGGUAGAGUGUACGCAGACUUUACCACUACCUCAUGGAGAUAGAGAGGCUAUUUCUGAGGUGUAAAAAGGUACCCUAUUGAUCUAUUUUCUUGUGAAUUUGUAUUUCUGAUGUUUGGCCACUUUUACGAUAAUGGUAGCUGGUAGGUUCCAUUCAUUACUAUUGUAAUCCUCAAUGACUAGCGACUUAGCUUGUGCAGUUACAUUCAUUAAGCACUUGUAUGAGAGAGAAAUUAAUUCAACCACAAUCAAUAUAGGAUGCUGCUAUAAUCUGUCAAUCUUAAACAAGGAUUGGGAGAAUCGCCUUUCUAGAGAUCACACAUUUUAUAUUGUGAUUUUGGUAUCAAAAGUAGUAAAAGAAAGAUGUAGAUUUUGAAUGUAGAAAUGGUAGUUUAUUAAUUGAGCAAUGUAUAUGCAGUUAUAAAGAAGGGAGGUAUGAUAGAAUUUGCAUGCGAUUUCUUCCCACAUCGUCUCAAAAGCAAAAAAUAAUUCUCUUGUUAAUCUAUUUAGCGGUCUCUAAUUAUGAACUUCAAUACAUAGCUAUUGGCGGGCCCGCCUAAGUGCGGGCCCUUGAUGGCUCACAUGACCUUGUAGGAAGGUCCUUCCAAUGAGUUGCAGUAUGCUGCAAAUCUUGUCCGUGCAUGUGCUGGCACAUAGGGAUCCAGGUCUAGCUGUGUAACUUUCUUCAUUGUGUCUGGCAUCAUCCACUGUAUUCCGAACCAAUUUCGCACUCUCACCAUAGCUGUGUUGCCACUUUUGCAAUGUAACAGGAAGUAGUCCACACUAUCAACUGUGCAUUUUGCUCAUGAAGCACCAGGCGACAGCUGACAUAUGUGAUCCUUUGCGUUCUCAUGUUCUCGGCUGUCAACAUUGGACCCGAGUUACAGACCAAGCUAAUAAACACCCCUUUCUUGGUGCCUAAGGAAGUAGUCCGCAUUCUCAACAGUGCAUCUGCACAUGAAGCACUAGGUGACAGCUGACGUAUGUGAUUCUUCACGUUCUCAUGUUCUCGGCUAGCAGCACGGGCCCAUCUGCAACGCAACCUAAUUAACUCACCCUCUCGGUGCUCAAGGCCUAGUUGUGUAACAUUCUUCAUUGUGCCUGGCAUCAUACACAGCAUUCUGAACCAAUUCAGCACUCUCAUCACAGUUGUGUUGCAACUUUGCAAUGUACAGGAAUUAGCCCACAUUUUCAACUGUAUAUUUGCACAUGAAACACCAGGUGACAGCUGACAUAUGUGAUCUUUUGGCGUUCUCAUGUUCUCAUGUUCUCGGCUGUUAGCACUGGACCCGAGCUGCAGACCAAGCUAAUAAACACACCUUUCUUGGUGCCCAAGGAAGUAGUCCGCAUUCUCAACUGUGCAUUUGCACAUGAAGCACUAGGUGACAGCUGGCAUAUGUGAUUUUUCACGUUCUCAUGUUCUCGGCUGUCAGCACUGGCCCACCUGCAACGCAACCUGAUUAACACACCCUUCUCGGUGCUCAAGGAAGUAGUCCACACUAUCAACUGUGCAUUUGCACAUGAAGCACCAGGCGACAGCUGACAUCUGUGAUCCUUUGCUUUCUCAUGUUCUCGGCUGUUAGCAUUGGACCCGAGUUACAGACCAAGCUAAUAAACACACCUUUCUUGGUGCCCAAGUGUAACAGGAAGUAGUCUACAUUCUCAACUGUGCAUUUGCACAUGAAGCUCCAAGUGGCAAUUGACAUAUGUGAUCCUUGGGCGUUCUCAUUUUCUCGGCUGUAAACACUGGACACGAGCUGCUACCCAAGCUGAUAAUUACACCUUUCUUGGUGCUCAGUUGGAUCAUAUAACUCGUGGCAUAAAUGAGCGGACUUAUUCCUGGAGCCUGGUCAGUAAUACUGGAUGUCCCUGAUACCAUCAGCCACAUAAAACCUUGAUCAGUACCCAGUAUUAGGCUGGAUGGGCAAUUAUCCAGGCUGCGGUGCAAACUUUCUGGAAGCAAGAUUCCAAUGGAUGGACUUACUGAUAGUCCAGCAGUUCGAGAAGCUAUAUAAAUUAAGAUGACAGAUAUACUUUGGAUCAGAUUUUUUUCGUAUUUGGAUAUUGCAGUAAGAAUUAAAUUGGAGUAAUGGCUCGUUAUGCGUGCAUACUCUAUGGUUCUUUUUCUGGUGUGGCAUAUCUGUUGAAGUUAUCUUAUGAUAAAGUCCAAUUUGAUUGAAAACCUGGGAUUGGCGGAGUCUCCUAUCAA